UUGGGAUUGAUUUUGGGGAACUGUUAAGGAAUCAGGGCCAAAAGGGGCCCAAAACAAGCAUUUUUCUAGUUUCAGGAUAAUAACUUGUGUACAAGUAUUUCAAUUGCUCUGAAAUUAUGCCGCAGUGUUUAAACCCACAAGUAGAAUGUUGGGAUUCAAUUAAGGGGUUAUGGGGCCAAAAUUUAGGAAUUAAGGGCCAAAAUAAGCAUUUUUUUAAUUUCAAGACAAUAACUUGUGAGUAAUUGUAUGGAUCUCUCUGAAAUUGUACCAUAAUGUACCAUAUAAAAAAGUGGAGGCUGGGAUUAAGUUUUGGGUUAAUUGCCCAAAAUAUGUAGGAAUAAGGGGCCAAAAAGAAGCAUGUUUCUAGUUUCCAAACAAUCAUGACAAUAACUUGUGUUUAAGUGUAUGGAUCUCUCUGAAAUUGUACUUCAGGGUUCAAUACUACAAAGGUAAGCAUGGGAUUGAGUUUAAGGGUUAUUGCUCCACGGGGGUUUCAAAAAGUUGGGAGGGAAUCUAUUGUUUACCAUUAUUUUAAGGGUUCCUUUUUUUUUCAAAAUUUUCAAAAUUCGAAUUUUGAAAAGUUUCAAGAAGAAAUCUUCAAUUGCACAGUAUUGUGCAAUAGGUUUGUUAGAUCUUUGACCACAUAAAUUUUGUUACAAAAAUCCAUAUUAUGUCAAAAAUUUGAUCACAAUCCAAAUUCAGACAGUUUUAAGCUUGAAUAUUGUGACCAAAUUUGCCCCAACUGUUCAAGGUUCGACCACUGGGGUCAUAUAAAGCUGUGCCCUACGAAGCACCUGGUUGAUGAAGUUGCAGUCCAAUCAACUUGAAACUUUGUACACAUGUUUCCUAUAAUAUGAUAUUUCUAAUUUUAAUGCCAAAUUAAAAAAAUUACCCCAAUUUCACGGUUCAUUGAACAUAGAAAAUGAAAAUGCGAGUGGGGCAUCCGUAUACUUUGGACACAUUCUUGUAUGGUUCUGUGGUUAUAGUGUUAACUUUAGUUUAUUUGUUUUGGACCUUUGUUCUAAUACUGUAUGCAAUGGGUUAACUAUAUUUCGUCUAUGAAAAUAUUUUUAAUGAUGUGCAUGUCAGUCUGG
This 1094-nucleotide long non-coding RNA is filed under the name Mytilus galloprovincialis (Mediterranean mussel). The record is from RNAcentral. Lineage: Eukaryota; Metazoa; Mollusca; Bivalvia; Mytilida; Mytilidae.